GGGGGCGACCUGGUUUCGACGGGAAUGUGAAACUUAUCCUGGCAUGCCAAGGUCCUGUAGCUUGUAAAACGCAGGAACAACUUAAUUGCCAACGAGCAAUUAGCACUCGCUGCUUAAUUUAAGCGGCACGUCCUUUUAGGUUUUGCCUGUAGAGCUUAAAAGGGCGACGAUCAUAUAGGCUGGUCUUCUCUGUCGCUUUUUGGGAGAAGAUGAGAUUUUUAAAAAGCUAUCUUUUGGUUGAGCCUGCACCUCGGCGCACCAAAAGAGAAACUUAAGUUGAAGUGAUAAGCAUGUAGUCAGCUAAGCGUAGUAUUUUCGGACGCGGGUUCGAUUCCCGCCGCCUCCACCA
Molecule: transfer-messenger RNA, 349 nt
Filed under: Deltaproteobacteria bacterium
Lineage: Bacteria; Pseudomonadati; Myxococcota; Myxococcia
Also listed under: 1 other name
Rfam family: transfer-messenger RNA
About the family: Bacterial tmRNA, also known as 10Sa RNA or SsrA, is named for its dual tRNA and mRNA-like properties. Its role is to liberate the mRNA from a stalled ribosome.
Source: RNAcentral